Notothenia coriiceps (black rockcod) is the source of this 695-nucleotide long non-coding RNA. RefSeq lists it as uncharacterized. The record is from RefSeq and is a predicted model, not a curated record. The transcript is spliced from 3 exons. Lineage: Eukaryota; Metazoa; Chordata; Actinopteri; Perciformes; Nototheniidae.
AGCUGAAACAUAAAAGCAGCGUUUGUUUCUGUUCCUGGUGGCUCCACCCGGAGAAACCUGCUUGUCUGUGAGGCAAGCCAAACAAAGCAAGAGGGGUAUUUAGGUCAGCGUUUGAUUGUCCGUAGCAUUUCUUACUUUUUUGUUUCCUUAUUGAAAAAUGUAAAUGAUGACUAAAAAAGGGAACGCAGCCAGGUUAUGGGAACACGAUAGACUUACUGGAACAUCGGAGAAGUAAACUUGUGCAAAAGCAAGAACAUUUCCUCUGGUAUAUAAAGCAUUGUUGAUUAAGUACAGGUCAAGGAAGACUAAAAUAUGAAGACUUUGGUUGCUGCAUUGGCUCUGUGCCUCCUCUACCUGCCUGUGUACCAGGCACACAGCCCUUAUCUACGGACAAACAUUGACAACAAAAUUGAAGAGAUGGAGGCCAGACUGACAAAAACUGAAAAAGAGUUGAUGGAUCACAAGCAGAUGACCGAGCCAGAAAAACUGCCAGAAGAAUGAUGACAUAUUAAGAGAGCUGGAGGCCAAACUGAAAGACACUGAGAAACAAGUAGAGGAUCUGAGGGCAGAUCAAGGUCAGCGUGUGGCAUUUGGAGCAUCUUUAGGUCCCGUUGGAGAUGUUGGACCUUUCAACGCUGACAUCACACUGACCUAUAAGAAGGUCUUCACAAACACCGUCGCAUACAACCCUGGAA